GUAGCGAAAUUCCUUGUCGGGUAAGUUCCGACCUGCACGAAUGGCGUAACGACUUCCCCACUGUCUCGACCAGGAGCUCGGCGAAAUUGCAGUACGAGUAAAGAUGCUCGUUAAGCGCAGAAGGACGAAAAGACCCCGGGACCUUUACUAUACCUUGGUAUUGGCAUUCGGUGUGGAUUGUGUAGCAUAGGCGGGAGGCCGAGAGGCGCGGUCGCCAGAUCGCGCGGAGCCGUAAGGUGAAAUACCGCUCUGUUCGCAUUGGAUGUCUAACCUCGAACAGUCAUCCUGUUCAGGGACAGUGCCUGGCGGGUAGUUUAACUGGGGCGGUUGCCUCCCAAAGAGUAACGGAGGCGCCCAAAGGUCCGCUCAGCCCGGUUGGCAAUCGGGUGGCGAGUGCAAGUGCACAAGCGGGCUUGACUGCGAGGACGACGGUCCGAGCAGGGACGAAAGUCGGGACUAGUGAUCCGGUGCCGGUGUACGGACGCGGCAUCGCUCAACGGAUAAAAGGUACCCCGGGGAUAACAGGCUGAUCAUUCCCAAGAGUCCAUAUCGACGGGAUGGUUUGGCACCUCGAUGUCGGCUCGUCGCAUCCUGGGGCUGGAGCAGGUCCCAAGGGUUCGGCUGUUCGCCGAUUAAAGCGGCACGCGAGCUGGGUUCAGAACGUCGUGAGACAGUUUGGUCUCUAUCCUCUGCGCUCGUUGGAAUGCUGAGGAGGCCUGCCCAUAGUACGAGAGGACCUGGGUGGACGAACCUCUGGUAUGCCGGUUGUCACGCCAGUGGCACGGCCGGUUGGCUACGUUCGGAAGGGAUAACCGCUGAAAGCAUCUAAGCGGGAAGCCUGCUCCAAGAUAAGCAUUCCGUGGAACCUUCGAGUUCCUGUAGUCCCCAUGCAGAACACGUGGUCGAUAGGCCGGACGUGGAAGCCCCGCGAGGGGUGGAGCCGACCGGUACUAACGGACGAAAGGCAACACUAA
RNAcentral lists this ribosomal RNA (974 nucleotides) under human gut metagenome. RNAcentral describes it as "bacterial LSU rRNA". It matches the Rfam family "Bacterial large subunit ribosomal RNA", at positions 1956 to 2925 of the family's 2925-position model. The record is from RNAcentral.